UACGGAGGGUCCAAGCGUUAUCCGGAAUCAUUGGGUUUAAAGGGUCCGUAGGCGGUUUUGUAAGUCAGUGGUGAAAGCCCAUCGCUCAACGGUGGAACGGCCAUUGAUACUGCAAGACUUGAAUUAUUAGGAAGUAACUAGAAUAUGUAGUGUAGCGGUGAAAUGCUUAGAUAUUACAUGGAAUACCAAUUGCGAAGGCAGGUUACUACUAAUUGAUUGACGCUGAUGGGCGAAAGCGUGGGGAGCGAACAGG
Molecule: ribosomal RNA, 253 nt
Filed under: uncultured bacterium
Lineage: Bacteria
Description: partial 16S ribosomal RNA
Rfam family: Bacterial small subunit ribosomal RNA
Source: RNAcentral